GUAGGUGGCAAGCGUUGUCCGGAAUUAUUGGGCGUAAGCGCGCGCAGGCGGUUCUUUAAGUCUGAUGUGAAAGCCCACGGCUCAACCGUGGAGGGUCAUUGGAAACUGGAGAACUUGAGUACAGAAGAGGAAAGCGGAAUUCCACGUGUAGCGGUGAAAUGCGUAGAGAUGUGGAGGAACACCAGUGGCGAAGGCGGCUUUCUGGUCUGUAACUGACGCUGAGGCGCGAAAGCGUGGGGGGAGCAAACAGGAUUAGAUACCCUGGUAGUCCACGCCGUAAACGAUGAGUGCUAAGUGUUAGGGGGUUUCCGCCCCUUAGUGCUGCAGCUAACGCAUUAAGCACUCCGCCUGGGAGUACGGCCGCAAGGCUG
This 371-nucleotide ribosomal RNA is filed under the name uncultured organism. Its description in RNAcentral is "partial 16S ribosomal RNA". It matches the Rfam family "Bacterial small subunit ribosomal RNA", at positions 527 to 896 of the family's 1533-position model. The record is from RNAcentral.